GAUGAACGCUGGCGGCGUGCCUAAUACAUGCAAGUCGAGCGUACAGACGAGGAGCUUGCUCCUCUGACGUUAGCGGCGGACGGGUGAGUAACACGUGGAUAACCUACCUAUAAGACUGGGAUAACUUCGGGAAACCGGAGCUAAUACCGGAUAAUAUAUUGAACCGCAUGGUUCAAUAGUGAAAGACGGUUUUGCUGUCACUUAUAGAUGGAUCCGCGCCGCAUUAGCUAGUUGGUAAGGUAACGGCUUACCAAGGCAACGAUGCGUAGCCGACCUGAGAGGAUGAUCGGCCACACUGGAACUGAGACACGGUCCAGACUCCUACGGGAGGCAGCAGUGGGGAAUAUUCGGCAAUGGGCGAAAGCCUGACGGAGCAAUGCCGCGUGAGUGAUGAAGGUCUUCGGAUCGUAAAACUCUGUUAUUAGGGAAGAACAAAUGUGUAAGUAACUAUGCACGUCUUGACGGUACCUAAUCAAAAAGCCCCGGCUAACUACGUG
Molecule: ribosomal RNA, 497 nt
Filed under: uncultured bacterium
Lineage: Bacteria
Description: partial 16S ribosomal RNA
Rfam family: Bacterial small subunit ribosomal RNA
Source: RNAcentral